Molecule: ribosomal RNA, 492 nt
Filed under: uncultured bacterium
Lineage: Bacteria
Description: partial 16S ribosomal RNA
Rfam family: Bacterial small subunit ribosomal RNA
Source: RNAcentral
AGUGAACGCUGGCGGUAGGCCUAACACAUGCAAGUCGAACGGCAGCACAGUAAGAGCUUGCUCUUACGGGUGGCGAGUGGCGGACGGGUGAGGAAUACAUCGGAAUCUACUUUUUCGUGGGGGAUAACGUAGGGAAACUUACGCUAAUACCGCAUACGACCUACGGGUGAAAGCAGGGGAUCUUCGGACCUUGCGCGAUUGAAUGAGCCGACGUCGGAUUAGCUAGUUGGCGGGGUAAAGGCCCACCAAGGCGACGAUCCGUAGCUGGUCUGAGAGGAUGAUCAGCCACACUGGAGCUGAGACACGGUCCAGACUCCUACGGGAGGCAGCAGUGGGGAAUAUUGGACAAUGGGCGCAAGCCUGAUCCAGCCAUACCGCGUGGGUGAAGAAGGCCUUCGGGUUGUAAAGCCCUUUUGUUGGGAAAGAAAAGCAGCAGGUUAAUACCCCGCUGUUCUGACGGUACCCAAAGAAUAAGCACCGGCUAACUUCGUG